RNAcentral lists this ribosomal RNA (468 nucleotides) under uncultured bacterium. Its description in RNAcentral is "partial 16S ribosomal RNA". It matches the Rfam family "Bacterial small subunit ribosomal RNA", at positions 28 to 507 of the family's 1533-position model. The record is from RNAcentral.
GACGAACGCUGGCGGCGUGCUUAACACAUGCAGGUCGAACGGAAAGGCCCUGCUUGCAGGGUGCUCGAGUGGCGAACGGGUGAGUAACACGUGGGUGAUCUGCCCCUUACUUUGGGAUAAGCCUGGGAAACUGGGUCUAAUACUGGAUAGGACCAUGCUGUAGGUGGUGUGGUGGAAAGAUUAGUUUCGGUAAGGGAUGAGCUCGCGGCCUAUCAGCUUGUUGGUGGGGUAAUGGCCUACCAAGGCGUCGACGGGUAGCCGGCCUGAGAGGGUGGACGGCCACAUUGGGACUGGGAUACGGCCCAGACUCCUACGGGAGGCAGCAGUGGGGAAUAUUGCACAAUGGGCGCAAGCCUGAUGCAGCGACGCCGCGUGGGGGAUGACGGCCUUCGGGUUGUAAACUCCUUUCAGCCAUGACGAAGCCUUCGGGUGACGGUAGUGGUAGAAGAAGCACCGGCUAACUACGUG